RNAcentral lists this ribosomal RNA (588 nucleotides) under uncultured bacterium. RNAcentral describes it as "bacterial SSU rRNA". It matches the Rfam family "Bacterial small subunit ribosomal RNA", at positions 338 to 916 of the family's 1533-position model. The record is from RNAcentral.
CCUACGGGGCAGCAGUGGGGAAUUUUGGACAAUGGGGGCAACCCUGAUCCAGCCAUGCCGCGUGAGUGAAGAAGGCCUUCGGGUUGUAAAGCUCUUUCGGCGGGGAAGAAAUGGCAACGGCUAAUAUCCGUUGUUGAUGACGGUACCCGCAUAAGAAGCACCGGCUAACUACGUGCCAGCAGCCGCGGUAAUACGUAGGGUGCGAGCGUUAAUCGGAAUUACUGGGCGUAAAGCGUGCGCAGGCGGUUUCGUAAGACAGACGUGAAAUCCCCGGGCUCAACCUGGGAACUGCGUUUGUGACUGCGAGGCUAGAGUACGGCAGAGGGGGGUAGAAUUCCACGUGUAGCAGUGAAAUGCGUAGAGAUGUGGAGGAAUACCGAUGGCGAAGGCAGCCCCCUGGGUUAGUACUGACGCUCAUGCACGAAAACGUGGGGAGCAAACAGGAUUAGAUACCCUGGUAGUCCACGCCCUAAACGAUGUCAACUAGGUGUUGGAAGGGUUAAACCUUUUAGUACCGCAGCUAACGCGUUAAGUUGAACCGCUGGGGGAGUACGGCCGCAANGGUUAAAACUCAAAAGGAAUUGACGG